This 207-nucleotide ribosomal RNA is filed under the name uncultured bacterium. RNAcentral's name for it is "partial 16S ribosomal RNA". It matches the Rfam family "Bacterial small subunit ribosomal RNA", at positions 568 to 774 of the family's 1533-position model. The record is from RNAcentral.
CGUGUAGGCGGCCUGCCAAGUCGGGUGUGAAAGCCCUCGGCUCAACCGAGGAAUUGCACCCGAUACUGGCGGGCUAGAGCCCGGGAGGGGGUAGCGGAAUUCCCAGUGUAGCGGUGAAAUGCGUAGAUAUUGGGAAGAACACCAGUGGCGAAGGCGGCUACCUGGACCGGAACUGACGCUGAGGCGCGAAAGCUAGGGGAGCGAAUG